UCAGAUUGAACGCUGGCGGCAUGCCUUACACAUGCAAGUCGAACGGCAGCACGGGGCGAACCUGGUGGCGGAGUGGCGAACGGGUGAGUAAUGCAUCGGAACGUGCCAUUGAGUGGGGGAUAACGUAGCGAAAGUUGCGCUAAUACCGCAUAUUCUGUGAGCAGGAAAGCAGGGGACCGCAAGGCCUUGCGCUCUUUGAGCGGCCGAUGUCAGAUUAGCUAGUUGGUGAGGUAACGGCUUACCAAGGCGACGAUCUGUAGCGGGUCUGAGAGGAUGAUCCGCCACACUGGAACUGAGACACGGUCCAGACUCCUACGGGAGGCAGCAGUGGGGAAUUUUGGACAAUGGGCGCAAGCCUGAUCCAGCCAUGCCGCGUGAGUGAAGAAGGCCUUCGGGUUGUAAAGCUCUUUCGGCCGGGAAGAAAUCGCAUGGGUUAAUACCCUGUGUGGAUGACGGUACCGGAAUAAGAAGCACCGGCUAACUACGUG
Molecule: ribosomal RNA, 488 nt
Filed under: uncultured bacterium
Lineage: Bacteria
Description: bacterial SSU rRNA
Rfam family: Bacterial small subunit ribosomal RNA
Source: RNAcentral